CGGGUCCCAAGUAGAUGGGCUGCUGAGCAGCGCUGGAGGCAGAGGUGAACUCAAGACCCGGAGAUCCUGACCUGGGCCAGGAAAGCAGACUAGACGCUUACAGCUGAGAUACCCAGGAAGGCCCUAAACUUCCGGUGAAUUUAAUAAUCACUCAGAAAAUGCAGCGCCAAUCACGGAUAUACGGAGUACAGGGAGAAGAGUCACACCUAUAGGAAUUCGUUUCACAAAAAAAGCAAGAUAUCAAACAUUUAUAAGGUGAAGCCAGAACAACAGGACCCAUUUCUUCUUAUAAUCAAGAGCAGCCAUUGAUAUUUUAAACCAACACAAACACAUUUCAUAGAAUGGGAACAGCAGUAUUUAUGGACAUUUAGUUUUACUUUGAGUUCUCUAAUUCUGAGUGGCCUCGAGAGUGUGAUAUUCCAGAGUGAUUUCACUUGUGGAUCAGAUGUAAGCUCCGAGAGAAAAGCAGAGACCUUCUCAGGUUCCAUGGGCAAGAAAAUUCCUUCCCCUCUAGAAAUGCCUUGCACUGAAGAUACUCUUUUGCUUACUUAGAUGCCCUACUCCUACACCUUCUUUAUUAUUUGGAGCUGGUCUGUUUCCUAGCAAUGUCAGAGGUCUUGAGUUGUUACCCAUUAGCAAUUUAACCUUAGCAAUUAACUACAGUCAGUAGUACAGAUAUGUGUCUUUUAACCUGGAUUCCAAGUCAAGAGAUUUCCUACAUAGAUCUAAGUUUCCAGAGCCCUUUCUUUCCUAUUUUAAUUGAAGGAUAACUGUCCCAUGUGCUAAUGAGAGUGUGCCCAGGUGCCUUUCCAUUACCCACACUCAGGCUGCACACUGCCCUGUCCUCUAUUAAGUUAUAGAAUCUGGGCUGUAGAGUGACCUUGAUGCUGAGAAAACCUUGUUAUUCAGGAAUUGCAGAAUAGAGUCUCAGCAUCACAGUUGGGAGUCACUAUUUUGGGCAGUAACUCCGUGAAGAGCAAAAGCUAUACUCUCGCUUAAAUAAUGGCAUGAAUACGGAGCAGAUCCUGGCUAAUGGGCUGUACUCUGGUUUGGAGCUGUUAGGGAGCAGGUCAUGUUAAAGGAAAGCUAGAGCCUAAUAAACCUAAGUGAUUUGUUUAUAUCCACUUAAAGUUCUGGAAUAUUAGCUGGUCUGCCUCAUGCUGUUAGGUGACUCAUUAGCCAUGGUUUAAUAAAAUAUAUCUCUGCAUCCA
This is a long non-coding RNA of Mustela lutreola (European mink), 1211 nucleotides long. RefSeq lists it as uncharacterized. The record is from RefSeq and is a predicted model, not a curated record. The transcript is spliced from 3 exons. Lineage: Eukaryota; Metazoa; Chordata; Mammalia; Carnivora; Mustelidae.